AUUGAACGCUGGCGGCAUGCCUUACACAUGCAAGUCGAACGGCAGCACGGGUGCUUGCACCUGGUGGCGAGUGGCGAACGGGUGAGUAAUACAUCGGAACAUGUCCUGUAGUGGGGGAUAGCCCGGCGAAAGCCGGAUUAAUACCGCAUACGAUCUACGGAUGAAAGCGGGGGACCUUCGGGCCUCGCGCUAUAGGGUUGGCCGAUGGCUGAUUAGCUAGUUGGUGGGGUAAAGGCCUACCAAGGCGACGAUCAGUAGCUGGUCUGAGAGGACGACCAGCCACACGGGGCUUGGGACACGGCCCAAACCCCGACGGGAGGCAGAAGUGGGAAAUUUUGGACAAUGGGCGAAGGCCUGUUCCAGCAAGGCCGCGUUGGUGAAGAAGGCCUUCGGGUUGUAAAGCACUUUUGUCGGGAAAGAAAUCCUUGGCCCUAAUACGGUCGGGGAUGACGGUACCGGAAGAAUAAGCACCGGCUAACUACGUG
This 485-nucleotide ribosomal RNA is filed under the name uncultured bacterium. Its description in RNAcentral is "partial 16S ribosomal RNA". It matches the Rfam family "Bacterial small subunit ribosomal RNA", at positions 29 to 507 of the family's 1533-position model. The record is from RNAcentral.